CACGUAGGCGGCCUGGUAAGUCAGAUGUGAAAGCCCGGGGCUUAACCCCGGAAGUGCAUUUGAGACUGUCAGGCUUGAGUAUGGGAGAGGGAAGUGGAAUUCCUGGUGUAGAGGUGAAAUUCGUAGAUAUCAGGAGGAACACCGGUGGCGAAGGCGACUUCCUGGACCAAUACUGACGCUGAGGUGCGAAGGCGUGGGUAGCAAACA
Molecule: ribosomal RNA, 207 nt
Filed under: uncultured bacterium
Lineage: Bacteria
Description: partial 16S ribosomal RNA
Rfam family: Bacterial small subunit ribosomal RNA
Source: RNAcentral